GAUGAAGAACGCAGCGAAAUGCGAUAAGUAAUGUGAAUUGCAGAAUUCAGUGAAUCAUCGAAUCUUUGAACGCACAUUGCGCCCCCUGGUAUUCCGGGGGGCAUGCCUGUCCGAGCGUCAUUACAACCCUCAAGCUCAGCUUGGUAUUGGGCCCCGCCGCUCCGGCGGGCCCUAAAGUCAGUGGCGGUGCCGUCCGGCUCCGAGCGUAGUAAUUCUUCUCGCUCUGGAGGUCCGGUCGUGUGCUCGCCAGCAACCCCCAAUUUUUUUCAGGUUGACCUCGGAUUAGGUAGGGAUACCCGCUGAACUUAAGCAUAUCAAUAAGCGGAGGA
RNAcentral lists this unclassified non-coding RNA (329 nucleotides) under soil metagenome. RNAcentral describes it as "partial contains 5.8S ribosomal RNA, internal transcribed spacer 2, and large subunit ribosomal RNA". The stretch from base 1 to 120 matches the Rfam family "5.8S ribosomal RNA", at positions 35 to 154 of the family's 154-position model. The record is from RNAcentral.